CCUACGGGAGGCAGCAGUGAGGAAUAUUGGUCAAUGGACGAGAGUCUGAACCAGCCAAGUAGCGUGAAGGAUGACUGCCCUAUGGGUUGUAAACUUCUUUUAUAUGGGAAGAAAAUGUACCACGUGGGGGAGUUUGUAUGUACCAUAGGAAUAAGGAUCGGCUAACUCCGUGCCAGCAGCCGCGGUAAUACGGAGGAUCCGAGCGUUAUCCGGAUUUAUGGGGGUUAAAGGGAGCGUAGGUGGAUUGUUAAGUCAGUUGUGAAAGUUUGCGCCUCAACCGUAAAAUUGCAGUUGAAACUGGCAGUCUUGAGUACAGUAGAGGUGGGCGGACUUCGUGGUGUAGCGG
Molecule: ribosomal RNA, 346 nt
Filed under: uncultured bacterium
Lineage: Bacteria
Description: partial 16S ribosomal RNA
Rfam family: Bacterial small subunit ribosomal RNA
Source: RNAcentral